This 520-nucleotide ribosomal RNA is filed under the name uncultured Glomus. Its description in RNAcentral is "SSU rRNA". It matches the Rfam family "Eukaryotic small subunit ribosomal RNA", at positions 569 to 1091 of the family's 1831-position model. Lineage: Eukaryota; Fungi; Glomeromycota; Glomeromycetes; Glomerales; Glomeraceae. The record is from RNAcentral.
AGCAGCCGCGGUAAUUCCAGCUCCAAUAGCGUAUAUUAAAGUUGUUGCAGUUAAAAAGCUCGUAGUUGAAUUUCGGGGUUAGUAGAUUGGUCAUGCCUUUGGUAUGUACUGGUCUUACUGAUUCCUCCUUCCUGAUGAACCGUAAUGCCAUUAAUUUGGUGUUGCGGGGAGACUGGACUGUUACUUUGAAAAAUUAGAGUGUUUAAAGCAAGCUUUGGCCUGAAUACAUUAGCAUGGAAUAAUGGAAUAGGACGUUCGAUCUUAUUUUGUUGGUUUCUAGGAUUGACGUAAUGAUUAAUAGGGAUAGUUGGGGGCAUUAGUAUUCAAUUGUCAGAGGUGAAAUUCUUGGAUUUAUUGAAGACUAACUACUGCGAAAGCAUUUGCCAAGGAUGUUUUCAUUAAUCAAGAACGAAAGUUAGGGGAUCGAAGACGAUCAGAUACCGUCGUAGUCUUAACCAUAAACUAUGCCGACUAGGGAUCGGAUGAUGUUAAUUUUAUAAUGACUCAUUCGGCGCCUUAA